This 442-nucleotide ribosomal RNA is filed under the name uncultured bacterium. Its description in RNAcentral is "partial 16S ribosomal RNA". It matches the Rfam family "Bacterial small subunit ribosomal RNA", at positions 338 to 795 of the family's 1533-position model. The record is from RNAcentral.
CCUACGGGAGGCAGCAGUGGGGAAUAUUGGGCAAUGGACGCAAGUCGGACCCAGCAACGCAGCGUGAAGGAAGAAGGCUUUCGGGUUGUAAACUGCUUUUAAGGGGGAAGAGCAGAAGACGGUACACCUGGAAUAAGCCACGGCUAACUACGUGCCAGCAGCCGCGGUAAUACGUAGGUGGCAAGCGUUGUCCGGAGUUACAGGGGGUAAAGGGCGUGCAGCCGGGCCGACAAGGCAGAUGUGAAAUCCGCGGGCUUAACCCGCGAACUGCAUUUGAAACUCUUGGUCUUGAGUACCGGAGAGGUCAUCGGAAUUCCUUGUGUAGCGGUGAACUGCGUAGAUAUAAGGCAGCACACCAGUGGCGACGGCGGAUGACUGUACGGCAACUGACGGUGCGGCGCGAAAGCGUGGGGAGCAAACCGGCUUAGCUACCCCUGUAGUC